This is a non-coding RNA of Nemania serpens, 108 nucleotides long. The record is from the annotation of a GenBank genome assembly. Lineage: Eukaryota; Fungi; Ascomycota; Sordariomycetes; Xylariales; Xylariaceae.
GUCCGAGUGACGAAGUGGUAUCGUGCCGUUCUUAUACUGUUUGGCAAAUUUGUGCGAAAUAGCAUGGUAGCAAUGCGGAAGUCGUGAGUUCGAUCCUCACCUUGGACA